CCUACGGGAGGCUGCAGUGGGGAAUAUUGCACAAUGGGGGAAACCCUGAUGCAGCGACGCCGCGUGAGUGAAGAAGUAAUUCGUUAUGUAAAGCUCUAUCAGCAGGGAAGAAAAUGACGGUACCUGAGUAAGAAGCCCCGGCUAACUACGUGCCAGCAGCCGCGGUAAUACGUAGGGGGCAAGCGUUAUCCGGAUUUACUGGGUGUAAAGUGAGCGUAGACGGCAGUGCAAGUCUGGAGUGAAAGGCGGGGGCUCAACCCCCGGACUGCUCUGGAAACUGUACGGCUGGAGUGCAGGAGAGGUAAGUGGAAUUCCUAGUGUAGCGGUGAAAUGCGUAGAUAUUAGAAGGAACACCAGUGGCGAAGGCGGCUUACUGGACUGUAACUGACGUUGAGGCUCGAAAGCGUGGGGAGCAAACAGGAUUAGAUACCCUUGUAGUC
This 440-nucleotide ribosomal RNA is filed under the name uncultured bacterium. RNAcentral's name for it is "partial 16S ribosomal RNA". It matches the Rfam family "Bacterial small subunit ribosomal RNA", at positions 338 to 795 of the family's 1533-position model. The record is from RNAcentral.